This 253-nucleotide ribosomal RNA is filed under the name uncultured bacterium. Its description in RNAcentral is "partial 16S ribosomal RNA". It matches the Rfam family "Bacterial small subunit ribosomal RNA", at positions 524 to 776 of the family's 1533-position model. The record is from RNAcentral.
UACGUAGGGGGCAAGCGUUGUCCGGAAUCAUUGGGCGUAAAGCGCGUGUAGGCGGUCCGGUAAGUCCGCUGUGAAAGUCGGGGGCUCAACCCUCGAAUGCCGGUGGAUACUGUCGGGCUAGAGUGCGGAAGAGGCGAGUGGAAUUCCUGGUGUAGCGGUGAAAUGCGCAGAUAUCGGGAGGAAUACCUAUGGCGAAAGCAGGUUACUGGGCCAUCACUGACGCUGAGCUGCGAAAGCUAGGGGAGCAAACAGG